AGUGAACGCUGGCGGUAGGCCUAACACAUGCAAGUCGAACGGCAGCACAGUAAGAGCUUGCUCUUACGGGUGGCGAGUGGCGGACGGGUGAGGAAUACAUCGGAAUCUACUUUUUCGUGGGGGAUAACGUAGGGAAACUUACGCUAAUACCGCAUACGACCUACGGGUGAAAGCAGGGGAUCUUCGGACCUUGCGCGAUUGAAUGAGCCGAUGCCGGAUUAGCUAGUUGGCGGGGUAAAGGCCCACCAAGGCGACGAUCCGUAGCUGGUCUGAGAGGAUGGUCAGCCACACUGGAGCGGGGACACGGUCCAGACGCCUACGGGAGGCAGCAGUGGGGAAUAUUGGACAAUGGGCGCAAGCCUGAUCCAGCCAUACCGCGUGGGUGAAGAAGGCCUUCGGGUUGUAAAGCCCUUUUGUUGGGAAAGAAAAGCAGCAGGUUAAUACCCCGCUGUUCUGACGGUACCCAAAGAAUAAGCACCGGCUAACUUCGUG
This 492-nucleotide ribosomal RNA is filed under the name uncultured bacterium. Its description in RNAcentral is "partial 16S ribosomal RNA". It matches the Rfam family "Bacterial small subunit ribosomal RNA", at positions 29 to 507 of the family's 1533-position model. The record is from RNAcentral.